UACGUAGGGUGCAAGCGUUGUCCGGAAUUAUUGGGCGUAAAGAGCUCGUAGGCGGCUUGUCGCGUCGGCUGUGAAAACCUGGGGCUCAACCCCGGGCCUGCAGCCGAUACGGGCAAGCGUAGAAUUCGGUGAGGGGAGACUGGAAUUCCUGGUGUAGCGGUGAAAUGCGCAGAUAUCAGGAGGAACACCGGUGGCGAAGGCGGGUCUCUGGGCCGAAUGAUGCGCUGAGGAGCGAAAGCGUGGGGAGCGAACAGG
RNAcentral lists this ribosomal RNA (255 nucleotides) under uncultured bacterium. RNAcentral's name for it is "partial 16S ribosomal RNA". It matches the Rfam family "Bacterial small subunit ribosomal RNA", at positions 524 to 776 of the family's 1533-position model. The record is from RNAcentral.